UAGAGUUUGAUCAUGGCUCAGGAUGAACGCUAGCGGCAGGCCUAAUACAUGCAAGUCGAGGGGCAGCACGGUUUUCGGACUGGUGGCGACCGGCGCACGGGUGCGUAACGCGUAUGCAACCUACCUAUUACUGGGGGAUAGCCCGGGGAAACUCGGAUUAAUACCCCAUAGCAUUAUAGAUUGGCAUCAUGAAAUAAUUAAAGAUUUAUUGGUAAUAGAUGGGCAUGCGUAAGAUUAGCUAGUUGGUGAGGUAACGGCUCACCAAGGCGACGAUCUUUAGGGGGUCUGAGAGGAUGAUCCCCCACACUGGUACUGAGAUACGGACCAGACUCCUACGGGAGGCAGCAGUAGGGAAUAUUGGUCAAUGGGCGAAAGCCUGAACCAGCCAUGCCGCGUGCAGGAAGACGGCCUUCUGGGUUGUAAACUGCUUUUAUAUAGGAAGAAAACGCCCUUGCGAGGGAAACUGACGGUACUAUAUGAAUAAGCACCGGCUAACUCCGUGCCAGCAGCCGCGGUAAUACGGAGGGUGCAAGCGUUGUCCGGAUUUAUUGGGUUUAAAGGGUACGUAGGCGGCUUUUUAAGUCAG
RNAcentral lists this ribosomal RNA (586 nucleotides) under uncultured bacterium. RNAcentral's name for it is "bacterial SSU rRNA". It matches the Rfam family "Bacterial small subunit ribosomal RNA", at positions 1 to 591 of the family's 1533-position model. The record is from RNAcentral.